UGAACCAUGGAACAAUCUCGGCCCGACCUAUCAGUACAAGUUGGUGGCCGUCACCACAGACUACGAGAGUCUGAAGAAGGAAGGACCUGACUUUUAAAAGACCUCAGCGGAACUGCAGGCGCGCGCGCACACACACACACACACACACACACAGAGACAGACA
This is a long non-coding RNA of Sinocyclocheilus rhinocerous, 163 nucleotides long. RefSeq lists it as uncharacterized. NCBI's taxonomy places the organism in Eukaryota, Metazoa, Chordata, Actinopteri, Cypriniformes, Cyprinidae. The record is from RefSeq and is a predicted model, not a curated record. The transcript has 2 exons.